CAGAGUCGUAAAACACUCCCAAACCCUUUGUAUAUUUACCUGUUGUGUUGCUUUGGCAGGCGGUCCCAGGGCGGGAUCGUGGCCGAAAGGCGUCUGCCGAAGAACUCACAAAAACUCUGUUAUCAUUAUAUUCAGAAUUAUAUCAAAAAUAAGUCA
Molecule: unclassified non-coding RNA, 156 nt
Filed under: uncultured Sordariales
Lineage: Eukaryota; Fungi; Ascomycota; Sordariomycetes; Sordariales
Description: sequence contains ITS1
Source: RNAcentral